CUCUGUAGUCUUAUAGAUGUGAAUUCUGUUUUGUAGGCUGAGGAGAGGCACUGUGAGAUCCUUGGCCGCCUUCUUUAUACUGCAAAGCUUGUUGCGAAACAGGAAGGGUUAGAAGGUGGCUUCAGGGUUGUGAUUAAUGAUGGCCCGCAAGGAUGUCAAUCCGUGUAUCACAUUCAUGUCCACCUCCUUGGAGGGCGCCAAAUGAACUGGCCUCCAGGGUAAGAUGAAGUUGUAGUUGAUAGGGUGGACACCAUAUUUAAUGGAAGUGGGCAUUGCGUGUUGUGUGGCCUGUUGAUAAUGUUAAUAAGUGAAAGCAGAUUGUUAACAAAUAGCUUUCAUGUCUAAUGAUGAGAAUGGUAUCAUUGUCCUCAGGGCUACCAGCUCUUCAACAGUGGAAAACUAAUUGACCUUGUUGAAGUAAUAAUACUUGGAAUGAUAAUGUGGUCUGCUUAGUUGUUCCCUGCCUUCUUCCUAUUUAGUUUUCAUAUUAAAUGGUUUAGAAUUCAUAAAUUGUUCUUUGAGCAA
This is a long non-coding RNA of Theobroma umbraticum, 525 nucleotides long. RefSeq lists it as uncharacterized. Lineage: Eukaryota; Viridiplantae; Streptophyta; Magnoliopsida; Malvales; Malvaceae. The record is from RefSeq and is a predicted model, not a curated record.